UGCAAGUCGAACGGUGAAGCAGAGCUUGCUCUGCGGAUCAGUGGCGAACGGGUGAGUAACACGUGAGCAAUCUGCCCUUGACUCUGGGAUAAGCGCUGGAAACGGCGUCUAAUACUGGAUACGAGCUGCGAAGGCAUCUUCAGCAGCUGGAAAGAACUUCGGUCAAGGAUGAGCUCGCGGCCUAUCAGCUUGUUGGUGAGGUAAUGGCUCACCAAGGCGUCGACGGGUAGCCGGCCUGAGAGGGUGACCGGCCACACUGGGACUGAGACACGGCCCAGACUCCUACGGGAGGCAGCAGUGGGGAAUAUUGCACAAUGGGCGCAAGCCUGAUGCAGCAACGCCGCGUGAGGGACGACGGCCUUCGGGUUGUAAACCUCUUUUAGCAGGGAAGAAGCGAAAGUGACGGUACCUGCAGAAAAAGCACCGGCUAACUACGUGCCAGCAGCCGCGGUAAUACGUAGGGUGCAAGCGUUAUCCGGAAUUAUUGGGCGUAAAGAGCUCGUAGGCGGUUUGUCGCGUCUGCUGUGAAAUCUGGGGGCUCAACCCCCAGCCUGCAGUGGGUACGGGCAGACUAGAGUGCGGUAGGGGAGAUUGGAAUUCCUGGUGUAGCGGUGGAAUGCGCAGAUAUCAGGAGGAACACCGAUGGCGAAGGCAGAUCUCUGGGCCGUAACUGACGCUGAGGAGCGAAAGGGUGGGGAGCAAACAGGCUUAGAUACCCUGGUAGUCCACCCCGUAAACGUUGGGAACUAGUUGUGGGGUCCAUUCCACGGAUUCCGUGACGCAGCUAACGCAUUAAGUUCCCCGCCUGGGGAGUACGGCCGCAAGGCUAAAACUCAAAGGAAUUGACGGGGACCCGCACAAGCGGCGGAGCAUGCGGAUUAAUUCGAUGCAACGCGAAGAACCUUACCAAGGCUUGACAUAUACGAGAACACCGUGGAAACACGGGACUCUUUGGACACUCGUAAACAGGUGGUGCAUGGUUGUCGUCAGCUCGUGUCGUGAGAUGUUGGGUUAAGUCCCGCAACGAGCGCAACCCUCGUUCUAUGUUGCCAGCACGUAAUGG
RNAcentral lists this ribosomal RNA (1063 nucleotides) under Microbacterium sp. RNAcentral describes it as "bacterial SSU rRNA". It matches the Rfam family "Bacterial small subunit ribosomal RNA", at positions 56 to 1131 of the family's 1533-position model. The record is from RNAcentral. Lineage: Bacteria; Bacillati; Actinomycetota; Actinomycetes; Micrococcales; Microbacteriaceae.